Molecule: ribosomal RNA, 377 nt
Filed under: uncultured eukaryote
Lineage: Eukaryota
Description: partial 18S ribosomal RNA
Rfam family: Eukaryotic small subunit ribosomal RNA
Source: RNAcentral
CAAUAGCGUAUAUUUAAGUUGCUGCAGUUAAAAAGCUCGUAGUUGGAUUUCGGGUGGGAAUGGCCGGUCCGCCGUUUCGGUGUGCACUUGCUACGCCCACCUUGCUGCCGGGGACGUGCUCUUGAGUUCACGCUCGGGACACGGAGUCGGCGAGGUUACUUUGAGUAAAUUAGAGUGUUCAAAGCAGGCCUACGCUCUGAAUACAUUAGCAUGGAAUAACACGAUAGGACUCUGGCCUAUCUUGUUGGUCUGUAGGACCGGAGUAAUGAUUAAGAGGGACAGUCGGGGGCAUUCGUAUUGCGGUGUGAGAGGUGAAAUUCUUGGAUCGCCGCAAGACGACCGACUGCGAAAGCAUUUGCCAAGAAUGUUUUCAUUAA